This 588-nucleotide ribosomal RNA is filed under the name Xylographa stenospora. Its description in RNAcentral is "partial 28S large subunit ribosomal RNA". It matches the Rfam family "Eukaryotic large subunit ribosomal RNA", at positions 198 to 804 of the family's 3401-position model. The record is from RNAcentral. Lineage: Eukaryota; Fungi; Ascomycota; Lecanoromycetes; Baeomycetales; Xylographaceae.
GGACGUCACAGAGGGUGAGAAUCCCGUACGUGACCGGUGGUCAACCCCAUGUGANGCUCCUUCNACNAGUCNAGUUGUUUGGNAAUGCAGCUCUNAAUGGGUGGUNAAUUUCAUCUAANGCUAAAUAUUGNCCANAGACCGAUAGCGCACAAGUANAGUGAUCGAAAGAUGAAAAGCACUUUGGAAAGAGAGUUAAAAAGUACGUGAAAUUGUUGAAAGGGAAGCGCUUGCNACCAGACUUGCCCGCGGGUGAUCAACCGUCCUUCNGGGCGGUGCACUCNCCCNCNAUCANGCCANUAUCGGUUUCAGCANCCGGACAAAGACGUCGGGAACGUAGCUCCUCUCGGGGAGUGUUAUAGCCCGGGGUGUAAUACGGUUAGUUGGGACCGANGACCGCGCUUCGGCUAGGAUACUGGCGUAAUGGUUGUCAGCGACCCGUCUUGAAACACGGACCAANGAGUCUACCAUCUAUGCNAGUGUUUGGGUGUUAAACCCAUGCGCGCAAUGAAAGUGAACGGAGGUGGGAACCCUUCGGCGGGCACCAUCNACCGAUCCUGAUGUCUUCGGAUGGAUUUGAGUACGAGCAUA